UCAGACAUACAUGCCAGCAUGUAAUAUUUCUUUGAUAUGUAUUCUAAACUAUUAGUUGACUGCAUCCUGCUUUCCAUAAAUCAGAAUCCAGUUUGGUAAAGAGAAAGAGCAAACCUAUGAUAAGUUCUAUAAAAGCUAAUAUUGUGUGGUGAACUGGGAAGAUACAAGAACAGCUCAGCCUGAGCCUGAAUAAACAAAUUAGAUUGCUUUCCCUAUAUCGAAGAACACACAACAAAUGUGUUAAAGCCCUUCCUUCUUCAUUCCCAUCUAGAAAAAUUGACGUGUUUUGUAUGAUGUUUAAUACAGAUGUCCUGUGAAUAUGUUUCUGAAAGCAAGAACAGAUUUUUUCUUAACUGGAAAAUGCUGCCUCCUCUGUAACUAGUCAAUGGUUAUAUUUUGUUUCAGAGCAGUUGGAGAAGUGACGAAUGCAAAUAACUCUUCAGAGCGAUUGUUUAGAAUUUAAUUUCUUCAGGAAAUAAUUGUACUUGAGGCACUAAGGGUGGAUUCUUCUCAGCUAAAUUUAACUAAACGUGGGUUAAGCUUCUAGACUGAGGUAGUCUUCUGUGUUUCUACUCUAUAUCAUGGAGAGAUGUGGGUGAUUUAGUGUUCUUACUUUAGACAUCACACCUAAGGAGAAUGAAUUGCUUCCUAUAGGAUCUCUGUUCACUGUGGAAAGAGUCUACACGUUUGCCCUAAGUUAGAUAUUCAAUUUUAAUGUAACUACAGCUGGGUAAAAUGAGCCAUAUGCUGCAGGAGGUGCUUUCCAAAGAAAAGUCAUUGUUUGUGUUACAUUAUUCUUUAAGAGCAACCCCAAAAUUGCCCUAAAGAUUAAACUCACCAAUUGCCAUAUAAUGUGCAUGCAGGAAUAACUUGCAACAUGUUUUAAGUGUAUCAUCAAAACCUCUGUGGCUAUGCUGAUCUUGGGAGUCAAAGUGAUCAGACAUGUUUGGGCAGGCUGUCCAGCAGGCAACAUAGCAAAGAGAAUGUUUACCAGACAUAAAGCACACUGUGUAAAUUGGGCUUUUAAUUGUGGUGGAAACAUAGCCACUAUCAGCUGACUGGUAGAAGGAGUGAUGAGAAGCAGUCUUGCAUUUCAAGAGGAACAGAAGUAAAAUUCUGGGUUCUUGUGUGCUCUGAAACAUUUCCAAAACCAAGCUCGCACUUCUGCUCAGUACUCAUAAGCAUAUGGUAAUUUUUACAGUAUCACAUUCAGAGUUCCCACUUGGUAUGAUAUGAAAGAGAAGAAUUCAGUAUUUGAUAUUGCUGCCUCAUUAUAAUAGCCUGACUUCAAUAGCCCUCUGUUCAAAGAACUGGAACAGAAUAGUGUGAGAAACUACUUAGGAAUACAUCAGUCAGCAAUAUGCAGAAAAUAAAUUGAACAGCUCCUCAUGCUAUAUGCCUUCCAAUAUUUAAACAUGUAAAAAGAAAUUCCUAAAGGGAAAGACCACUAAUGGAAGAAGCUAUUCAUCUUGAAUGUACCAGAUCACUUCUUUCAAAAGGAUGUUAGAAAGAUGGUUUAGACACUGAAGCAGUAUUUGGCUUGUUGUUGGGUGGUUAAGCUUAAAAAGCUCAUAUGCUGCAAUGGCAUACUUAAAGUAAGUAAGAAUUUUUAACAGUUGAAAGCAAAAGGCACCUGUGCUUCUAAGAUUUUGGUCUAAUGGUCAGGCAUUAAAGGAUGCAGCACUUUGGUUGACAACUGAAGCAAUGAGCUGUGGUGGUUUGGGAGGAAGGGAGCAGAAGACAAAAACAAAAAAAGCCAAGAGUACAGUUUAUCAUUGCUACACGGAUCACAGCUUCUGUGUCCAACAAGUGGGAUCAAUUUUUCUAACCAGUUGUAUCUGUGAGUUGGAUGGUUUUGACUCUGGUUGUGUUUCUUCCUCUGACUGUGAGGAUUUGUUACCUCUUCAUGUAAGUAAGCAGUAAUUUUUUGGGAAAAGGCAUCUUUUGGAUAUGCCUAUAUUAAUAUGUAUAUAAUAGCCACCAUGGGAUAUUCUGGUCCAUGACACUAAAUCAAUUACAACAGUAGAGCUACAUUAGUUGUUGAUGACGAUGAUGGCAACGGGACCAUGAGAAAGUCAAGGAAAUCAGCAAGACCCCAAAAGCCUAAAUGAAGUUAUAAGACCAUAAGCAGAUGCUGUUAGCAAAAGGAAAUGUCAUGAUGGACAAGGUAAAAUUCUACUUUAUAAACUGGUUGACAUUCACAUUUUCCUCUACUCUGACCAGUACUACUCACUAGACCAGCAUCUGAAUCCUUCAAGAAUCUGAAACCUUGUCAUUUAGGAGUGUUAUUUAAGUGAGUUUGUCUCUUCAAACAUGCUUUUCAUUUGUUUUCCGGCAGAUGCAUAUCUCUUGCCAACUGGUACAGGUGUUUCUCUGGCUGGUUUCUGCUGUUAGCUGUGCUCUUGUCACUGUCACAUGUCUCCAGAUAUAUAACAGCUUUUUUUCUUCACAACCUUUUUCUAGAAAGAUGCAGAAACUUUAUUAAGAAGCAAACAGUUUUUUAAUUCUAAAUUUUUAUAACUUCACAGGAAAGUGAGAAACGAAGUGGGAGGAAAUACACUGAAAAAAAAGGAAGUUAUCACACAUUUAAAUAUGCAUUUCAACUAUAGCUAGUGUCUAAAUAUAUGAACACUGAUUACACAGCUCCUCGUGCACUUAGGAUGCUCCCAGGCAGCGCAUGAAACCACUUUAAAGGCUAAAGGGUAUGUGCAGAGCUUUCAGCUCUUGCAAGCUUAUCACAAAAUAGAUGUAACUGUAAACCAUACGCUCUUGUGAAUUAGCAACACCACAAAGGUUUGUUCUUCCUUAUAUUUCAGCAGAAGCUAUAACCACAAGUGCUAACUGUCUACACACAAUACAGGAAUUACUUUGUAAAGGGGGAGAUGAGGUGAAGUAUCACAAGAAGUCUUUUACAAAAGCACCUAUGAUAUUUCUGCUUUUUGGGGCUGCCAGGUAACAAACAUGAUUUGUAGUGUAAUAUUGUGCUCUCGACCACAGCAAGCCCUGGCAGACCAGUAUUCUUGAAGGCAUGACCUGGGAUUUUUAAAAUGCUUGCAUUUCGUGUCCUGUCGGCUGAUGCUCGGCUCUCCCGGGUUCUCCCUUUGCCCUCAAGUGUGUUUUAUAAAGUCUUUGCAUCGCUUUUCUGCCAGUUGUAGGGUUUACGCUGUCCUGGCGGCUGAUACGCAGCUCCAGCUGCUGGUGGAAAAUCAGUACGACAGACUCGAGAGAAAGCGCGUUUCCUCCACCUCAGAGAAGAACGCCUCUGAGACUGGUCCUACCCUAGCAAAUCAGAAACUUAAUAUGUGUUUAUCUACUUCACUAAUGAGUGUUUAAAAUUAAUUUAAGUAUGGUUUUGAUAGGUACAAUCUGGAAAAAUAAUUUGUAGAAAUGUUUUCUUAGAAAUUUACAUUAGCUAUGCUUGUUCAUAUGGUGUUUUGUCGUACAAGUGGACAUACUAAAUACUAAACUUUUUCCUUGAUGUAUCAUUCCAAUCCAUUUAGGAUUUCUGUUCCUGACAGAGCUAGCUUCUGCAUGUCAGAAAACAAAAUAAGGGUUUGUACACCCAGUUCAUGAUAUCCCUCAUUAAAAAACCCUCUGUCAGAGCCUAGGGAUACCAGCGUACAAUAAAAAUUGUUAAGAGUUUUCACCCAAGUGAGACCUCAUUUUAAAUUCUGUACAGCAAGGAUUUCAGCCAGAGAGGUGAGUGAAGUUCUUCAAAACAGAGGAGGCCUUGAUUUACCAAUGUAUGCAAGAAAUUUUGAAGAUAACCUUGAGAUUCCUACUAAAAAUGCCCUAGAAUUAGACCGCCAGAAGCCUGUGAAGCUAUUGCCCUACACUUAUAUCAAAAGGAUAACAGGUCAGCUUUCAUUUGAUUGAGAAAAAUCUGAAACCAAAAACCCACAUAGAAGUGCUUUUUCACAUUUUUGGUCACUUGAUGGCACUAAACUAACACUAUACAUAUUAAUCACAAAUAGCAUAAGAAUACAUCUGUGCCAGUGUAUUUUUUUUUUAAGGCUUGGCCUGAUGAAAGUGCUUUGUUUUGUUAAGGGCAGAUUUCAGACAUAAAAGAGAUAUAAAAAAACCCAAACAUGAAGCCAAGAAGCAGUUGUGAAAUCUGUGUGCUGUCUGUCUUGUUAAAGUUCACAACAUACUACAAAUACCACAGCAUAAUGGAAUACAUAGCAUUUCUGAGCAAAACAAAACAUAACACACCAAAGACCAAACCAAGCCUUUCAGUAGCAAAUCUCAGAGAGGUAUCUGCAAACUUUGGAAAGUGUCAUUUCCACCAAAAUGUGUGGCCACCAGGAGGCCGCCUACAUGAGGCAGAGCAAGUAGACAGCCUGGCCUUUCCUGUGUCUCUUUAUUUAGAGGGAAAUUGCUAGUAUUUCGAGGCUGAAUGUUGGGUUCAUUUUGUGAAUGCAGAGGUGAAGCAGGGGGAGCUUUGCUUGGAUGGUCUUAGUCAUGUAAUAGGAGCCUCCUGGUGUGAUACAUGGCUGAAGAAAGGACUGCAGUCCACUGUGUCUCCCCAUAAAGGCACCCUCUCAUGAGCUGUCCAUCAAAUAUCUGUAUUAUAUUUAUUUGCAGUUAGAAGUCAGAGAACUGAGAAAUCCUCAGCUAAAUGGAGCCUUUUCCACAACUUUUCAGGAUGUGAUUCGAGUACUAAAGGAACAUUUUUAUUUAUUUGUCAGAAGUUUCAAGCUUUCAAAAAAUUUUCCCCUCCUGAAAAAGGAGGAAAACAAAGAUUUUUGGAAAUUUUCACCAAUCAGCAAUCAAAAUGCUUUUGUUGGAUCAAAGAAUGUAUUUUAUUCCAAUGAUGCCUUUUCUCUGAAUGUUUUUAGCUUCUUUUUUCAACAGGAAGUUACUUAGACUUCAAAACCCCCAAAAGUUUUGAAAGAUUUUUCACACCUUCCAAAGGCAACCACAAAGGAUAUUUCAGCAAGUUGAAAGGGCUGGGAGGGGGUUUUCUUUUUGAAACAAGGGAUAACAUUCAAGCCUUUCCCAUAAAUAGGUUUUAAUGAAUCAGUCCACACAACAGUCUGUGGCACAAAAUGCCCAGACAGCUCUAGAAAUGAUGCUGCAGGUUGCAGCUGCUCUCCCCCUUCCUCACAGCACUCCUGAAAGAGCUGUGGUGACUGACGGAGUAGUGCUUGCACAGAGGGACUUUCAUAGAAGUGAGUAUGGGAAACCCCAUGACAUCACAUGCACCUGUCCUAUCUUAUGGAGAAGGAAACAUGGUCAUUGUAUGUUAAGGCACUUCUGUUAAUUUUUACACUUUUAAGCCUUUUUUUUUCUUUUUUUUUUUUUAAUCAUAGAAUCAUUUAGUUUGGAAAAGACCUUUAAGAUCGAGUCCAGCUAACCUAACCCUGCCAUGGCCACCACUAAACCAUGUCCCUAACUACCACAUUUAUACAUCUUUUAAUUGCCUCUGGGGAUGGGGACUCCACCACAUUCCUGGGCAGCCUGUCAAUGAUUGACACCCCUUUUGGUGAAGGGAUGUUUCCUAAUAUCCAAUCUAAACCUCCUCUGGUGCAACUUGAGGCUAUUUCCUCUCGUUCUAUGACCUGUUACUUGGCAGAAGAGACCAACACCUACCUUGCUACAACCUCCUUUCGGGUAGUUGUAAAGUGCAAUAAGGUCUCCCUUGAGCCUCACGUCAUUUUCUAACUGCUGCAGAAGGUCAUGAUGGACUUCACUUUCCCAUAUUCUCAUAAUUUCCUAUCUCCGAUGAUUCUGCAACUUCUGCGAAGUAUGGUGCUUUCUGGGAGUCUUGUGGACUUUGCAAUGGCUUCAAUUAAAUGGAAGAAUUGCAACUUGCCAGCCAGUGAAUCCAUUGUCAAAAUUUUGGUUGGACUUGUCACCUUGUGCAUCCUUAACCAUGCUAAGCUGGAGAAAAGUGAUUGGCCAAAGCAUUGCAGUGACUUCCACAGUACACAAAGCCAAUUUCUGCCCCCCUUUCUACUAAUGGCUUUCCACAGGAGCUGCUCUGCCUACUGAGGGAUCCCCUCCUCUGCAGCCCCACCUACCAGCCUUAUUGAAGGCUAUGGGGUCUCAGAAGAGACCAUGCCUGAGGGUAGAUGGGCACAAAGGCUCUCUAAAGAAUAUAUCCCUGGAAAUGUUAUACAGCCUGAGGAAAAUGUUUACAAUUUGGAAGGGAUUCAGGAAACAGUCAUGACAGAUACAACAGGACAAGCAAACAUACCUUGGAGAGGAAGAGAGAGAAUGCAGAGGCCCUGUUUAGCUCAACAAGAAGCAGGUAGGAGGAUGCUUUUGCUCACAGUCUACAGCUGACUGCAGGGGGGAGAUUGGCCAGAAUAGGGGGUUCUUUAGUCUGGAUGUGAACAUGUAAAAACAUCCAGCAUUGAGGAUACGUACAUUCCAUAGUAGUUAAACACUUGAAUUGCUUACUGAAAUCUGUGGUGAAGUCAUCUGGAAAUAUCUCAGUUAAGAUCGCAUGUUCUUUAAAGUGUUUUUCAUUACAGGCAGGAGCCAACACAGUGAAGUCCUUAAGGGCAAUAUCUAGAUGCUGAUCUCUGAGUCAAAUCCUCCCCACAACAUUUUUCCUUCCAGUCCAGCAUAUUUAUUUCACUGUCUGGCAGGAGAUGAAAAGCCACCAUUUUUGUACCUUCUGAACACAGACAGCCUCUCAGAGCCAGGAGCUGUUAGAUUUGCUUGGGAUAAGCAAUUAGUUCUGGAGUGUACUCUCCUAUGCCAUCUGCUCAUGGCUCAGCACUUAGGACUGUGCCUGCACCUGCAUCAGAGUGUAAAUUGGGUAGGUUUGUACAAUAGAGGCAGGAAAACAAGUUAAGUGUUCACAGUGGUAUCUUCUCUUUACAGAAUCUUUGAGUCCAGUUAAACAAGACUGCGUGACUUUACUUAGUAUUGCUCUUCAGCAGGACUGUAGAUGGCACGCUAAGGUCUAUUGAGUUAGUAGCACCAGAGGCAGCCUUAUUCAGACAGCCUAAGAGCAGAACAACCUCACACACAACAAAAUACUUACUUCAUAUUUAUCAGCAUGCUCUCCGGAUGCACCAGUGGGCCUUAGAUGCCCUUACCAGACUUAGUGCCCUGACAACAUUUUUCCUAAUAACUUUUCCUUAACCAUAGCUUGGGAGAUGAUUUAGAUUCAGUGGACAGGCCCUUUCUGAGAAAAAAACUGCCUUUAAAUCUCCUUUACUUUUAUCUUUAUACUUCUGUUGUAUUUUGAUUUAGUUACUAGUUCCAGAAAGUGUUUUAUAAGAAUUUAUUUUCUUUUCUCAGUGUCUGUAUCUGGUUAUCACAACAUAUAAUCUCUGGAUAGCAAAAGCAUAAUAGUGUUUUGAGCAGUUACAUUAAGGACUUGAUGCUAGUUAUCUAGUCCCAUCAAAUAUGAAUUUCAGCUAAACACAAGUUGUUGGAAUAAAAGAAGAUUCUUUUGUAAUUUCUGUUUUCUGAAUAUUGUGUUCAUAGUAUUAUAAAAGCCUGUAUUCUCCUCAGCUAUUUGUCUGUACUAUUAUGAAGCCUGGCUGUUCAAAGCACAGUUGGACAAUAACACAGUCUUCUCUAAAUCACUCAGGUACAUACCACAUUGCUUUAGUAAAUGUUUUAUUGUCAGAAAUGUUGGAAAGGAUCACUUGAAAAGUUCUGCUUUUUGGCCAAAACUGAUAAAAGUGUUCAGACUGAAUAUUGAAAAGGAAGAUUACACUGAAUUAUGUACAAUUUAGGAAGGGAAAAUUAGAUAUAGGUAGAAAUUUGGAUUAGAUUCUGAGUGUAGCAUAAUUUCCAAGAUAAACACAGUAGUCAGAUAUUGUGACAAUGCUGUCUAAUCGCAAGGACACCUGCACAUUUUACACAAACUACUUCAGAGCUAGAGCUUCUCUUCAGGGGCAUCAUCUCUACUACUUCUCUUGGGGGAAAUCUUCUAGUUCUGCGGUUGGGACACUGUGCUGUGGGGUGUGAAAAUGGGUCGGUGUCCUCUUUGGAAAUGGCAGGAAAUGAACACAGGUUUUACACUUUCUGGCCAGAAGAUUGCUGCUGCUGCUGUCACCUGAGAAAAGGGAUUGGUCCCUCCCUACUGCUUUUAGAAAGCGGUUUGGAGAAAACGCAGGGUAGUUGGUGAAGGUCUCCUGACAACAUGGAUCCGCAUGCCACAGGGCAGGAAAUGGGCAGGACUUCAGUUCUUCCUCCUGGUACCUACCCAAACUCUCUUAGGUUGCUGACUGCUGUGAAAGCUGUUC
This is a long non-coding RNA of Pezoporus occidentalis (night parrot), 8213 nucleotides long. RefSeq lists it as uncharacterized. The record is from RefSeq and is a predicted model, not a curated record. The transcript has 3 exons. NCBI's taxonomy places the organism in Eukaryota, Metazoa, Chordata, Aves, Psittaciformes, Psittacidae.